UCCAGACUCCUACGGGAGGCAGCAGUGGGGGAUAUUGCACAAUGGGGGGAACCCUGAUGCAGCGACGCCGCGUGGGUGAAGGAGCGUUUCGGCGCGUAAAGCCCUAUCGGCAGGGAAGAAGGAGGACGGUACCUGACUAAGAAGCCCCGGCUAACUACGUGCCAGCAGCCGCGGUAAUACGUAGGGGGCAAGCGUUAUCCGGAUUUACUGGGUGUAAAGGGAGCGUAGAUGGCAAUGCAAGUCUGGAGUGAAAGGCGGGGGCCCAACCCCCGGACUGCUCUGGAAACUGGGUGUCUUGAGGGCAGGAGAGGAAAGUGGAAUUCCUAGUGUAGCGGUGAAAUGCGUAGAUAUUAGGAGGAACACCAGUGGCGAAGGCGACUUUCUGGACUGUACCUGACGCUGAGGCGCGAAAGCGUGGGUAGCGAACGGGAUUAGAUACCCCAGUA
Molecule: ribosomal RNA, 446 nt
Filed under: uncultured bacterium
Lineage: Bacteria
Description: partial 16S ribosomal RNA
Rfam family: Bacterial small subunit ribosomal RNA
Source: RNAcentral